Molecule: ribosomal RNA, 261 nt
Filed under: uncultured bacterium
Lineage: Bacteria
Description: partial 16S ribosomal RNA
Rfam family: Bacterial small subunit ribosomal RNA
Source: RNAcentral
CGGACGGGACGGGUGAAGUAACGCGGUACGGGACCGCCCUAUACAGGGGGAUAACAGUUAGAAAUGACUGCUAAUACCGCAUAAGCGCACGGAGCCGCAUGGCGCUGAGUGAAAAACGAUAGUGGUAUAGGAGGGACCCGCGUCUGAUUAGGUAGUUGGUGAGGUAACGGCCCACCAAGCCGACGAUCAGUAGCCGGCCUGAGAGGGUGAACGGCCACAUUGGGACUGAGACACGGCCCAAACUCCUACGGAAGGCAGCAG